AGAGUUUGAUCCUGGCUCAGAAUCAACGCUGGCGGCGUGCCUAACACAUGCAAGUCGAACGCGAAAGGGGCUUCGGCCCUGAGUAGAGUGGCGAACGGGUGAGUAACACGUGGGUGAUCUACCUCUGAGUGGGGGAUAACGUUCCGAAAGGAGCGCUAAUACCGCAUGACGUCCUGGGUUUUAAGACCUGGAAACCAAAGUCGGGGACCGCAAGGCCUGACGCUUGGAGAGGAGCCCGCGCCUGAUUAGCUAGUUGGUGGGGUAAUGGCCUACCAAGGCGACGAUCAGUAGCCGGCCUGAGAGGGCGGACGGCCACACUGGGACUGAGACACGGCCCAGACUCCUACGGGAGGCAGCAGUGGGGAAUUGUUCGCAAUGGGCGCAAGCCUGACGACGCAACGCCGCGUGGAGGAUGAAGGUCUUCGGAUUGUAAACUCCUGUUGAUCGGGAAGAAUGGACUCCGGGUUAAUACUCCGGGGUAGUGACGGUACCGAUUGAGGAAGCCACGGCUAACUCUGUGCCAGCAGCCGCGGUAAUACAGAGGUGGCAAGCGUUGUUCGGAAUUACUGGGCGUAAAGGGCGGCGUAGGGCGGGUCGCCUAAGUCGGACGUGAAAUCCCCCAAGCUUAACUUGGGAACUGCGUCCGAUACUGGGUGACUUGAGUUCGGGAGAGGAAUGUGGAAUUCCAGGUGUAGCGGUGAAAUGCGUAGAUAUCUGGAGGAACACCGGUGGCGAAGGCGGCAUUCUGGACCGAAACUGACGCUGAGGCGCGAAAGCCAGGGGAGCAAACGGGAUUAGAU
RNAcentral lists this ribosomal RNA (800 nucleotides) under uncultured bacterium. Its description in RNAcentral is "bacterial SSU rRNA". It matches the Rfam family "Bacterial small subunit ribosomal RNA", at positions 8 to 783 of the family's 1533-position model. The record is from RNAcentral.